This 480-nucleotide ribosomal RNA is filed under the name uncultured bacterium. Its description in RNAcentral is "partial 16S ribosomal RNA". It matches the Rfam family "Bacterial small subunit ribosomal RNA", at positions 28 to 523 of the family's 1533-position model. The record is from RNAcentral.
GAUGAACGCUGGCGGCGUGCUUAACACAUGCAAGUCGAGCGAUGAAGUUUCCUUCGGGAAACGGAUUAGCGGCGGACGGGUGAGUAACACGUGGGUAACCUGCCUCAUAGAGUGGAAUAGCCUUCCGAAAGGAAGAUUAAUACCGCAUAACGUUGAAAGAUGGCAUCAUCAUUCAACCAAAGGAGCAAUCCGCUAUGAGAUGGACCCGCGGCGGAUUAGCUAGUUGGUGGGGUAACGGCCUACCAAGGCGACGAUGCGUAGCAGACCUGAGAGGGUGAUCGGCCACAUUGGGACUGAGACACGGCCCAGACUCCUCCGGGAGGCAGCAGUGGGGAAUAUUGCACAAUGGGGGAAACCCUGAUGCAGCAACGCCGCGUGUGUGAUGAAGGUUUUCGGAUCGUAAAGCUCUGUCUUUGGGGAAGAUAAUGACGGUACUCAAGGAGGAAGCCACGGCUAACUACGUGCCAGCCGCCGCCGUAA